Molecule: ribosomal RNA, 1460 nt
Filed under: Acinetobacter sp. EU60
Lineage: Bacteria; Pseudomonadati; Pseudomonadota; Gammaproteobacteria; Moraxellales; Moraxellaceae
Description: 16S ribosomal RNA
Rfam family: Bacterial small subunit ribosomal RNA
Source: RNAcentral
CAUGCAAGUCGAGCGGGGAAGGUAGCUUGCUACCUGACCUAGCGGCGGACGGGUGAGUAAUGCUUAGGAAUCUGCCUAUUAGUGGGGGACAACAUUCCGAAAGGAAUGCUAAUACCGCAUACGCCCUACGGGGGAAAGCAGGGGAUCUUCGGACCUUGCGCUAAUAGAUGAGCCUAAGUCAGAUUAGCUAGUUGGUGGGGUAAAGGCCUACCAAGGCGACGAUCUGUAGCGGGUCUGAGAGGAUGAUCCGCCACACUGGGACUGAGACACGGCCCAGACUCCUACGGGAGGCAGCAGUGGGGAAUAUUGGACAAUGGGCGAAAGCCUGAUCCAGCCAUGCCGCGUGUGUGAAGAAGGCCUUUUGGUUGUAAAGCACUUUAAGCGAGGAGGAGGCUACUUGGAUUAAUACUCUAGGAUAGUGGACGUUACUCGCAGAAUAAGCACCGGCUAACUCUGUGCCAGCAGCCGCGGUAAUACAGAGGGUGCGAGCGUUAAUCGGAUUUACUGGGCGUAAAGCGUGCGUAGGCGGGCUUCUUAAGUCGGAUGUGAAAUCCCUGAGCUUAACUCUCAGGAAUUGCAUUCGAUACUGGGAAGCUAGAGUAUGGGAGAGGAUGGUAGAAUUCCAGGUGUAGCGGUGAAAAUGCGUAGAGAUCUGGAGGAAUACCGAUGGCGAAGGCAGCCAUCUGGCCUAAUACUGACGCUGAGGUACGAAAGCAUGGGGAGCAAACAGGAUUAGAUACCCUGGUAGUCCAUGCCGUAAACGAUGUCUACUAGCCGUUGGGGCCUUUGAGGCUUUAGUGGCGCCAGCCUNACGCNGAUAAAGUAGACCGCCCCGGGGGAUAAACGGUCGCAGGACUAAAACCUNAAAUGGAAAUGACGGGGGGCCCCGCACCAAGCGGGUGGGAAGCAUGUGGGUUUAAUUCGAUGCAACGCGAAGAACCUUACCUGGUCUUGACAUAGUAAGAACUUUCCAGAGAUGGAUUGGUGCCUUCGGGAACUUACAUACAGGUGGUGCAUGGCUGUCGUCAGUUAGUGUCGUGAGAUGUUGGGUUAAGUCCCGCAACGAGCGCAACCCUUUUCCUUAUUUGCCAGCGAGUAAUGUCGGGAACUUUAAGGAUACUGCCAGUGACAAACUGGAGGAAGGCGGGGACGACGUCAAGUCAUCAUGGCCCUUACGACCAGGGCUACACACGUGCUACAAUGGUCGGUACAAAGGGUUGCUACCUAGCGAUAGGAUGCUAAUCUCAAAAAGCCGAUCGUAGUCCGGAUUGGAGUCUGCAACUCGACUCCAUGAAGUCGGAAUCGCUAGUAAUCGCGGAUCAGAAUGCCGCGGUGAAUACGUUCCCGGGCCUUGUACACACCGCCCGUCACACCAUGGGAAUUUGUUGCACCAGAAGUAGGUAGUCUAACCGCAAGGAGGACAGCUUACCACGGUGUGGCCGAUGACUGGGGUGAAGUCG